Molecule: ribosomal RNA, 530 nt
Filed under: Colletotrichum acutatum
Lineage: Eukaryota; Fungi; Ascomycota; Sordariomycetes; Glomerellales; Glomerellaceae
Description: SSU rRNA
Rfam family: Bacterial small subunit ribosomal RNA
Source: RNAcentral
GGUCUGAAAAAAGCCCAAUGCAAAAUUAGUACAGCAGUGGGGAAUUUUGGUCAAUGGCCUAACGGCUGAACUGGCAAUUUGGGGAAACGAAACAGAAUUGUAUUUUACCAAAAUAAAGUUUUAAGUACGUAUUAAUAAUGAUAAUAUGUAUAAAAGUCUUGACCAAUUACGUGCCAGCGGUCGCGGUAAUACGUAGGAGACGAGGAUUAUUCAUAUUAAAUAGGUUUAAAGGGUACCCAAACGGUCAAAAUACCUUAAAUAAAGGAGUACUUGACUAGAGUUAUAUGUGAGAAGACCGUACUUGAGGUGGAGAGAUUAUAUUCUGUGAUACCAAAAGGACUGAUAAAGGCGAAGGCUGUCUUUUAUGUAAUAACUGACGUUGGAGGACGAAGGCAUAGAGAACUAACAGGAUUUGACACCCUAGUAGUCUUUGCAGACAAUGAUGAAUGCCAUGGACUAGUCGCUAAAAUAGGAACUCGUGUCCUAUAAGGCAACACUUUAGAGUGUAGCACAAUUUAGGAUGCGAGUGU